Molecule: long non-coding RNA, 1526 nt
Filed under: Gallus gallus (chicken)
Lineage: Eukaryota; Metazoa; Chordata; Aves; Galliformes; Phasianidae
Description: long non-coding RNA NONGGAT004924
Source: RNAcentral
CUCUGCAUACUCGGGCGCGCUCUGACGGGGCGACGGGAGAAGCUCUCGGCCCCCCCCCCAAAGGCGGCGCGUGCCCCGGGACCGCCAUCUCGCCCUGCCCGCAGGUCGGGAGCAGCCGCCACGGCUGAGGCAUCGGAGCGCGGUCAGUGCUGGAGAACAAGGUUGGGUGUGCAAGGAGAAGGGUGGUAGGCACCUGACGGACGGGAGGAGACAUCUAACGUUGGCAAGGUAGCGGAAGCUACGCCGGGAGCUGGGGUUGGGGUUGUUCCGGAGCUGCCGGCCUUCUGGAAUAGAAGCUAUCGAGCGGUCGUUAAGGAAAGGUGCGGUGACUACAGUUAUUGCUAAUGUCCUUCUCCCCUCCUGCUCCCACCCACCCCCCCCAAAAUAUCAGUUCCACAGACGCCUCCAGCCUGAGAGGGAGCUCGUAUUUUCUAGGUACUGAGCACGCAGCAAUCCGCCGGCCCGCGGCCAUUUCAGCUGAAUGAACAGUCGAGGUCCUCACGACAUGCAGAAACACCUCCAUGCCUGAAGUUGCCCCUUACAUCCCCUCCAAGAAGAGCCUUAGUGUUCAUCUAAUCCCUGGAGACAGUAAUAUCGAGAUAGGUCAGCUUUGUCUAGCGUGCAUUAGGACAGACAGCACUGCGCACGGGGGAAGCAUCCACGUUCAAUAGCAUCCUGUGACACACACCAGCUCCUCAUGGCUCUUCUCCUCCACCACCGCCGUCCUGGGAAGCUUUCAGCCUGCAAGCUGCCUGAAAUCCUGUCUCUUCGUGGGAGCAGGAGCAGCAAGAGCAAUCCAUUCCCUGAAGCCUAGCGGAAAGCUGGCUGUUACCACCCACAGCGUACGACGAUGGGGAGGCUUCCAGACUUGAUUGAACGUAUUUUGUUCCUGACGUCUGUGAUUUCUAGAAGUGUGUGUAUCAGGUACAGCACCGGCUCGUACCAUUACAGAGAUCAGAGCCUUCAGUCCAUUGUAAGCCACUUCGGUUUCAACCUCUGGAGCAGCGGCCGUCCCACUCCCCGCUGUCACAUCAGCCACCAUGCAGGCUGGACGGAACGCAGCUCUUCACCAUGGGGUUCAUUUCAUGGAGCAAAUGAGAGCCACGUAGCACUGUUACCCUCCUAGCCUGCACGUCCAGAUGUUACAGAGCCCUAGCUCCUCGCAGAUCAGCUCUGCUAUAAGCAGUAACCACACAGCAGGCAUUUUCAUGGGAUCUAUCUACAUUCCCUUCUCCCCACAUACAAAAAGGAUGUAUUUGAAGUUUUUUCCUCAAGCCAGCAGAAAACACUAGCCAAGCUUUAACAGGUGCAAUACACAAACCAGGUCAUUGGACUCCACUGGCUCCCAGGCCAUGGCAAGCAGAAAGGCUGGGCAUCCCAGAGUCCCGUUUGCUUGGCAGUGGUAGAAACACAGAACGAGAAGCUAAGCUUGUCAAACCCUAACCACUAAAGUUGCAGGAAUUCAGUAAAAUUCCUUUUCAAACACUUAGCUACCUCUCUCAGUUAAAACAAACUAAACAGUUAAA